Lycium barbarum (goji berry) is the source of this 417-nucleotide long non-coding RNA. RefSeq lists it as uncharacterized. NCBI's taxonomy places the organism in Eukaryota, Viridiplantae, Streptophyta, Magnoliopsida, Solanales, Solanaceae. The transcript is spliced from 2 exons. The record is from RefSeq and is a predicted model, not a curated record.
GUCAUUUGCCUUCUCAAGGGUUUCAGACGAAACCCUAGCGCCGGCACCCUAUCGCUUCUCCCCUCACACGUCACGAUUGCCGGAAAUGGCAACAUUUCAGGCAUGUCAGUCGCGUAUCAGUCUUAGCAUGGCCAAAACGAGUAGCAUUAAAGGCAAACUCGUCUCUCUCCACCUAUUCUCACCAAACGCUGCCUUAGAAGGCUUUUCUUUCAGCAAAACAGUCUGAUGAGGGGGUGAAAGGGAAGCAAAUAUGCAUGUGAACACGUUGAAGGCCCAACCAUGGGUGAAAAUGGUUAACUACAGAUUUGGUACCCCCUAGCCUAUCCCUCUCUUUUAUUUAUAAUUAUUUCAUUCUUAUUUUGUAUUUGUAUAACUUCUAAGAACAUCAUAUUAUAUUGGAAUCCUUUCGAUUAUGAA